GACGAACGCUGGCGGCGUGCCUAAUACAUGCAAGUCGAACGCAGUGGGGACGGGUGAGUGACACGUGGGUAACCUCCCAUCAGAGGGGAUAACACUUGGAAACAGGUGCUAAACCGAUACUGAUGGAUGGACCCGCGGGGCAUUAGCUAGUUGGUGAGGUAACGGCUCACCAAGUCCACGAUGCAUAGCCGGGCUGGGCGGGUGAUCGACCACACUGGGACGGAGACACGGCCCAGACUCCUACGGGAGGCAGCAGUAGGGAAUCUUCGGCAAUGGACGAAAGGCGGACCGAGCAACGCCGCGUGAGUGAAGAAGGUUUUCGGAUCGUAAAACUCUGUUGUUCGAGAAGCGGUAUCUAACCAGAAAGCCACGGCUAACUACGUGCCAGCAGCCGCGGUAAUUC
Molecule: ribosomal RNA, 403 nt
Filed under: uncultured bacterium
Lineage: Bacteria
Description: partial 16S ribosomal RNA
Rfam family: Bacterial small subunit ribosomal RNA
Source: RNAcentral